RNAcentral lists this ribosomal RNA (388 nucleotides) under Shigella flexneri. RNAcentral's name for it is "partial 23S ribosomal RNA". It matches the Rfam family "Bacterial large subunit ribosomal RNA", at positions 2454 to 2846 of the family's 2925-position model. Lineage: Bacteria; Pseudomonadati; Pseudomonadota; Gammaproteobacteria; Enterobacterales; Enterobacteriaceae. The record is from RNAcentral.
GGAUAAAAGGUACUCCGGGGAUAACAGGCUGAUACCGCCCAAGAGUUCAUAUCGACGGCGGUGUUUGGCACCUCGAUGUCGGCUCAUCACAUCCUGGGGCUGAAGUAGGUCCCAAGGGUAUGGCUGUUCGCCAUUUAAAGUGGUACGCGAGCUGGGUUUAGAACGUCGUGAGACAGUUCGGUCCCUAUCUGCCGUGGGCGCUGGAGAACUGAGGGGGGCUGCUCCUAGUACGAGAGGACCGGAGUGGACGCAUCACUGGUGUUCGGGUUGUCAUGCCAAUGGCACUGCCCGGUAGCUAAAUGCGGAAGAGAUAAGUGCUGAAAGCAUCUAAGCACGAAACUUGCCCCGAGAUGAGUUCUCCCUGACCCUUUAAGGGUCCUGAAGGAAC